Molecule: transfer RNA, 76 nt
Filed under: Clostridia bacterium
Lineage: Bacteria; Bacillati; Bacillota; Clostridia
Description: tRNA-Val
Rfam family: tRNA
About the family: Transfer RNA (tRNA) molecules are approximately 80 nucleotides in length. Their secondary structure includes four short double-helical elements and three loops (D, anti-codon, and T loops).
Source: RNAcentral
GGAAGUUUAGCUCAGCUGGGAGAGCAUCUGCCUUACAAGCAGAGGGUCAUAGGUUCGAGCCCUAUUACUCCCACCA